This 465-nucleotide ribosomal RNA is filed under the name uncultured bacterium. RNAcentral describes it as "partial 16S ribosomal RNA". It matches the Rfam family "Bacterial small subunit ribosomal RNA", at positions 338 to 795 of the family's 1533-position model. The record is from RNAcentral.
CCUACGGGAGGCAGCAGUAGGGAAUCUUCCACAAUGGGCGAAAGCCUGAUGGAGCAACGCCGCGUGGGUGAAGAAGGUCUUCGGAUCGUAAAACCCUGUUGUUAGAGAAGAAAGUGCGUGAGAGUAACUGUUCACGUUUCGACGGUAUCUAACCAGAAAGCCACGGCUAACUACGUGCCAGCAGCCGCGGUAAUACGUAGGUGGCAAGCGUUAUCCGGAUUUAUUGGGCGUAAAGGGAACGCAGGCGGUCUUUUAAGUCUGAUGUGAAAGGCUUCGGCUUAACCGGAGUAGUGCAUUGGAAACUGGGAGACUUGAGUGCAGAAGAGGAGAGUGGAACGCCAUGUGUAGCGGUGAAAUGCGUAGAUAGAUGGAAGAACACCAGUGGCGAAAGCGGCUCUCUGGUCUGUAACUGACGCUGAGGUUCGAAAGCGUGGGUAGCAAACAGGAUUAGAUACCCUGGUAGUC